RNAcentral lists this long non-coding RNA (956 nucleotides) under Androctonus crassicauda. Lineage: Eukaryota; Metazoa; Arthropoda; Arachnida; Scorpiones; Buthidae. The record is from RNAcentral.
ACGGAUUGUUAUUGCAAUAGUUAUUGGCAGUGGUUUUGUUGAUAUUUUAUAGUAUUAUUAAAGAAGAAUAAUGAAUAAAAUUUUCCUUUUUGUUGAUUGUAUUUGUCGCGAAAUGGCUGUGUGGACAGGUGUGCACAACGCGUUGUGGCAUGUUCAUGUUUCCAAAACGCGUUUUGGUCAAUUGUUGAAAGAACCACAACACAAAUUUUGCUUUGUGGCCUUUUUGAGUAUAGCAAAACGCGUUGUGAGCUCUUUUGAAAGUGGCACGACACGAAUUUCGUAUUGUGGUUAAAUCAGAAAAGUCAGAACGCGAUAUGGUCGUUCUUUUCGCUCAAAGAGCUUUUCGGUCAUUGAGCCUAACAGAUAUACCGGUAUAUAUAUUAUUUUCUGUAAUCGAAUGUCGGUUAUUGUCAUGUCAUUGUUAAAAUUUCGCAGAAUGAUGCUUAUUGGUUACAAUGAGCUUGUUUUCCUUUAGUUGUCAAAACUGUCAAAUCAUGUAAUUAUAAAAUAGCUCCAAUCCGAAACAGAAUUUCAUUGUGAAGCCGGAAAUUUUUCACUUGACGUCGAAAUUAUUGUUUUUAUUGAUAUCAGUAUAUUUUCAGAACAACAUAUAAAAUCGUUCCAUAAGGACAACUGUCCUAAUUCAUAACUUAUUACGCAGUAGGGAGUAAGGAAGUUCAGAUUAAUGUUCUGAGGUUAAAUGGGCCGGAACAGGAUUCUGAAAAAUCUCUUAAAUCUCUCAUUUUCCAUCACCUUCCUUCCUAUAUAGCUGACGGGUAUAUAAUAUAUUAUUAUUUUAUUUAAUUCUCAAAGGAUUAUUAUUAACGAAAUAUAAAAAAGUAACAAACAUUUGUAAAAUGUGAAAUAACUAAUUUCAUGUAAUAAUUUUUAAUCAGCAAUGAUAAAAUUAAUAAAUUUCGAUUAUUAAAUGAACCGAAUUACAAAACACAUGAACA